This 633-nucleotide ribosomal RNA is filed under the name uncultured Parvibaculum sp. Its description in RNAcentral is "bacterial SSU rRNA". It matches the Rfam family "Bacterial small subunit ribosomal RNA", at positions 907 to 1533 of the family's 1533-position model. The record is from RNAcentral. Lineage: Bacteria; Pseudomonadati; Pseudomonadota; Alphaproteobacteria; Hyphomicrobiales; Parvibaculaceae.
GAAUUGACGGGGGCCCGCACAAGCGGUGGAGCAUGUGGUUUAAUUCGACGCAACGCGCAGAACCUUACCAACCCUUGACAUGUCCAGUAUGGUUUCCAGAGAUGGAUUCCUUCAGUUCGGCUGGCUGGAACACAGGUGUUGCAUGGCUGUCGUCAGCUCGUGUCGUGAGAUGUUGGGUUAAGUCCCGCAACGAGCGCAACCCUCGCCUUUAGUUGCCAUCAUUAAGUUGGGCACUCUAGAGGGACUGCCGGUGAUAAGCCGGAGGAAGGUGGGGAUGACGUCAAGUCCUCAUGGCCCUUACGGGUUGGGCUACACACGUGCUACAAUGGCGGCGACAAUGGGCAGCGAAGGGGCGACCCGGUGCAAAUCCCAAAAAGCCGUCUCAGUUCGGAUUGUACUCUGCAACUCGAGUGCAUGAAGGUGGAAUCGCUAGUAAUCGCGUAACAGCAUGACGCGGUGAAUACGUUCCCGGGCCUUGUACACACCGCCCGUCACACCAUGGGAGUUGGUUUUACCCGAAGCUGGUGCGCUAACCGCAAGGAGGCAGCCAACCACGGUAAGGUCAGCGACUGGGGUGAAGUCGUAACAAGGUAGCCCUAGGGGAACCUGGGGCUGGAUCACCUCCUUUCUGAG